This 653-nucleotide long non-coding RNA is filed under the name Monodelphis domestica (gray short-tailed opossum). RNAcentral describes it as "lncRNA (ENSMODG00000035786.2)". The record is from RNAcentral. Lineage: Eukaryota; Metazoa; Chordata; Mammalia; Didelphimorphia; Didelphidae.
CACUAAGUCAACAUCAUUAGAAAUGCAAAAGGGGGAAAAUGGUAAUCUGGUGUAUUUAGUAAAAGGCCACAUUACUGUGAUAAUACUCACAAAUAACUAUGUAAAAAACAAGCUAUUUAGAAGAUAAAUCAAGAAGAAUUAAUGGAGAGAAUGAAGAAUUACAAGAGAAUGAGAACAUCUUUCUUCAGAAGUGAAAGAGAGAAUGCAUUUGGAAAAGAAAAUUUAAAAAAUCCGAGUCUAAAUCCAUUCAGACAAGUACAAGAUGCAAAUGAGAGAAAUAAGAAAUAUCAGAAAACAACAUUACUACAACAAUGUACAUGGAAAGAAAACAACAAAAAAUGAAAGUGAACAAUGUAUUUAAGACAACCGAGAUUGGGACUUGGAACUAUAGAUGGAUGGGUUGAAGCAUUUCUUUACCUGUCUGAAAAAGUCCAAGAAGGGGUAAAGAUUCUCCAGAAGGAAACCAUCCCUGGGUUGUGACCUCUUACAUUCACUCCAUAUUUACAAAGUGCUGGUCUUUACCAUAGAGGUAACCCAACAUAUAACAGGGACCCAACUGAUUAAAUAUCACCUGCACUUUGCCUGGCAUCCCCGUUAUCAGGAAAAGUAGAGAAAAUGAGUCAUACUGACAAUAAAAUUCUUGGGUUCAGACA